AAACCCUCAGAUAUAUAUCCAAUUCUAAAUACAAACGAAUAUUUGACUGUGAGAGAAAACAGCGCUGGGUAUUUGCAUCUUGUACUUGUUGAUCGAACAAAGAAUUCUUUGAAUUGGAGAACAAAUGGAACCUUUGAGGUUGUCCAUAGAACUCCAGCAGGAGCAGCUCUACAUUUUUAUGACAAAAGAAACGAUUAUGCUUAUUUCACAAGUACAGAAGUUGAAGGCACAGAAGAUGGUUUGCCAAGGAUACGCCAUUUAUGGAAAGUUAAAGCUCAUGGAGAUAGAACAAGGGAGUGUGUCUCAUGCGAUCUGAAUACAAUAUAUGCUGAUAGAUGUAAUUGGGUUGACCCAACAUUUAGUCCCGAAGGAUCCUACGUUGUUAUAAACUGUGGCGGAACAGGGAACGGAGUACCCGUUUCAACUCUUCAUUAUAUAUCUGAUUCUGGUGAUAUUAGUUUACGUGGCGAAGUGGAAAAUAACACUCAACUCAUAGAAAAUCUUGAAGCUUUCAAAUUUCGAACAAGAGAAUAUGGUGAAAUUAGUCUCCCUCAAGUUGAUGAUGAAGUCUUUUAUUAUACUUUGCACAAACCUCCAAACUUUGAUCCAAGCAAAA
Non-coding RNA from Styela clava, 616 nucleotides. Lineage: Eukaryota; Metazoa; Chordata; Ascidiacea; Stolidobranchia; Styelidae. The record is from RefSeq and is a predicted model, not a curated record.